UACGAGGGGGGCAAGCGUUGUUCGGAAUUAUUGGGCGUAAAGGGUGCGUAGGCGGGUUUUUAAGUCAGGGGUGAAAUCCUGGAGCUCAACUCCAGAACUGCCUUUGAUACUGAAGAUCUUGAGUCCGGGAGAGGUGAGUGGAACUGCGAGUGUAGAGGUGAAAUUCGUAGAUAUUCGCAAGAACACCAGUGGCGAAGGCGGCUCACUGGCCCGGUACUGACGCUGAGGUGCGAAAGCGUGGGGAGCAAACAGG
Molecule: ribosomal RNA, 253 nt
Filed under: uncultured bacterium
Lineage: Bacteria
Description: partial 16S ribosomal RNA
Rfam family: Bacterial small subunit ribosomal RNA
Source: RNAcentral